Molecule: ribosomal RNA, 516 nt
Filed under: uncultured bacterium
Lineage: Bacteria
Description: bacterial SSU rRNA
Rfam family: Bacterial small subunit ribosomal RNA
Source: RNAcentral
AGAGUUUGAUCCUGGCUCAGGACGAACGCUGGCGGCGUGCCUAACACAUGCAAGUCGAGCGGAGACAGUGAGUAGCUUGCUAUGAGCUGUUUUAGCGGCGGACGGGUGAGUAACGCGUGAGCAACCUUUCCCAGACAGGGGAAUAACACACCGAAAGGUGUACUAAUACCGCAUAAGACCACGGGAUCACAUGGUUCUGGGGUAAAAGAUUUAUCGGUUUGGGGUGGGCUCGCGUCCGAUUAGGUAGUUGGUGAGGUAACGGCCCACCAAGCCGACGAUCAGUAGCCGGACUGAGAGGUUGAACGGCCACAUUGGGACUGAGAUACGGCCCAGACUCCUACGGGAGGCAGCAGUGGGGAAUAUUGGGCAAUGGGCGCAAGCCUGACCCAGCAACGCCGCGUGAAGGAAGAAGGCUUUCGGGUUGUAAACUUCUUUUGUCAGGGACGAGUAGAAGACGNNNNNNNNCGAAUAAGCCACGGCUAACUACGUGCCAGCAGCCGCGGUAAGAACUCCUGU